Molecule: ribosomal RNA, 1068 nt
Filed under: Triticum aestivum (bread wheat)
Lineage: Eukaryota; Viridiplantae; Streptophyta; Magnoliopsida; Poales; Poaceae
Description: partial small subunit ribosomal RNA
Source: RNAcentral
AUGGGAUUCAGAGAUUUACACUGCUUUAAUUUGGCUCUCCUUGCUAAACAGUGUUGGAGGCUUCUAUGUGAACCAGACUCUUUAUGUGCUACAGUCUUGAGAGCAAAAUAUUUUCCUGAGGGUGAUCUACUUAAUUGCAGUCUUAAGAAGGGUAGCUCUUACACUUGGCAAAGUCUUUGGUAUGGCAUUCAAACUUUCAAGCGAGGGAAUAUAUGGCGAGUAGGAGAUGGGUCACAGAUAAAUAUAUGGGAGGACACAUGGAUACCAAGCAGCCCCACUCGAAAGGUUAUGACACCUAGAGCUAACAUUGUGAUCACCAAGGUGUCUGAAUUAAUUGAUGCGGAUAACAGAGUGUGGGAUGCACAGUUGAUUCAUGAGUUGUUUUGGCCAAUUGAUGCACAACGUAUUCUGAAUAUCCCAUUGGCUGUAGGGAUGAUGGAGGACUUUGUUUCUUGGCAUUUACAUAGGAGUGGAUAAUUUACGGUGAACUCGGCCUAUCAUGAAGAAUGGGAGCACCAACAUGGACGAAAGUUGAGGAUGACUAACUCAAUACAAGCCUCAAGUACUAGUCCAGUUUGGAGGACCGUUUGGAAAUUGAAUGUGCCAUCAAAAGUAAAAAUCCACGUGUGGAAAACUUUACUCAGAGCGAUCCCAUGUCAAGGAGUUCUUGCAAAUAGACACAUAAUAACUAGUUCUCAAUGCCCUUUGUGUAACUCAGAUUGUGAGAGCAUUCGACAUGCUCUCUUCCUAUGCCCGCGUGUUCAACAAGUUUGGCGCCUGCUUGGUUUGGCAUCAGUGGUUAACGAGGUUUGCAUGAUGGAAAGGGAGGGCGGCUCAGUUAUGGCUGAUCUGCUUAUGUCCAAGAACCCAACGAAGGCGUUGGUCUGUGAUGUCCAGCGCAAUGACCUUGUUGCCACAGCGGUGUGGUAUUUAUGGUGGGAGCGACGUAGCUAUACCCAUGGUGAGCAACUAUAUGAACCCACUAGAUCGGCGCAAGCAAUUUCAGCACUUGCGAAAAAUUUCUCAAGAGCAAAUUCAAAGAAGGGCAGAAUAAAGAGACAUGGCUAG